RNAcentral lists this ribosomal RNA (301 nucleotides) under uncultured bacterium. RNAcentral describes it as "partial 16S ribosomal RNA". It matches the Rfam family "Bacterial small subunit ribosomal RNA", at positions 509 to 807 of the family's 1533-position model. The record is from RNAcentral.
CAGUAGCCGCGGGAAUACGUAGGUGGCAAGCGUUGUCCGGAAUUAUUGGGCGUAAAGGGCUCGCAGGCGGUUUCUUAAGUCUGAUGUGAAAGCCCCCGGCUCAACCGGGGAGGGUCAUUGGAAACUGGGAAACUUGAGUGCAGAAGAGGAGGGUGGAAUUCCACGUGUAGCGGUGAAAUGCGUAGAGAUGUGGAGGAACACCAGUGGCGAAGGCGACUCUCUGGUCUGUAACUGACGCUGAGGAGCGAAAGCGUGGGGAGCGAACAGGAUUAGAUACCCCAGUAGUCCCUGUCUCUUAUAC